This 400-nucleotide ribosomal RNA is filed under the name phytoplankton environmental sample. RNAcentral's name for it is "partial small subunit ribosomal RNA". It matches the Rfam family "Eukaryotic small subunit ribosomal RNA", at positions 587 to 987 of the family's 1831-position model. The record is from RNAcentral.
AGCUCCAAUAGCGUAUAUUAAAGUUGUUGCAGUUAAAAAGCUCGUAGUUGAAUUUCUGAUGAGAAUUAUCGAUCCGAGUACAUAGUACUUGUGUAUCGUUUUUAUUCUUAUCAUCUUGGUAGUGAGUGUAUCUGGCAUUAGGUUGUUGGAUGCAGGAGCUGCCUCGUUUACUGUGAGGAAAUCAGAGUGUUCAAAGCAGGCAUUACGCCUUGAAUGCUUCAGCAUGGAAUAAAGAGAUAGGACGUUGGUGCUAUUUUAUUGGUUUGCACACCACGUAAUGAUUAAUAGGGAUAGUUGGGGGUAUUCAUAUUUGAUUGUCAGAGGUGAAAUUCUUGGAUUUAUGAAAGAUGAACUUAUGCGAAAGCAUUUAUCAAGGAUGUUUUCUUUAAUCAAGAACGAA